Molecule: ribosomal RNA, 274 nt
Filed under: Segatella copri DSM 18205
Lineage: Bacteria; Pseudomonadati; Bacteroidota; Bacteroidia; Bacteroidales; Prevotellaceae
Description: Prevotella copri DSM 18205 partial 16S ribosomal RNA
Rfam family: Bacterial small subunit ribosomal RNA
Source: RNAcentral
UAUGGUAAUUGGCCGCGGUAAUACGGAAGGUCCGGGCGUUAUCCGGAUUUAUUGGGUUUAAAGGGAGCGUAGGCCGGAGAUUAAGCGUGUUGUGAAAUGUAGAUGCUCAACAUCUGCACUGCAGCGCGAACUGGUUUCCUUGAGUACGCACAAAGUGGGCGGAAUUCGUGGUGUAGCGGUGAAAUGCUUAGAUAUCACGAAGAACUCCGAUUGCGAAGGCAGCUCACUGGAGCGCAACUGACGCUGAAGCUCGAAAGUGCGGGUAUCGAACAGG